This 552-nucleotide ribosomal RNA is filed under the name Triticum aestivum (bread wheat). Its description in RNAcentral is "partial small subunit ribosomal RNA". The record is from RNAcentral. Lineage: Eukaryota; Viridiplantae; Streptophyta; Magnoliopsida; Poales; Poaceae.
AUGGCGAUCGAGGAGAGCAAUGAGAUGGGCACGAAGGUGCUCCCGGCCGUUGACAACAAGGACAAGCAGCCGGUUCAUCCAAUGCCCGAGGUGGUGCUGCCGCCCACCGCUGAGGAAGAACCGAAGACGCCAACGGUUGGCGACGACGAGCGCAUGGAGGAGCCCCCCAGCAGCAAGCGCCGCAACUACGACCACUACCAUGAGGAGGAUGGCCCAACUCACUUCUGCAAGGUCAUCGUUGCACCGGAGCUUGAGUGCAUCCCCAUGCCCCUGGGCUUCACCAAGCACUUCGUCGCGGUGCCGACGGAGUUCAAGCUGAGGAACAACACCGGCUGCUCCUGGAGGGUGACGGUGAAGCUGAUGAACGACAGGGUGACCUUGGAUCAGGGUUGGGCCACCUACGCCGCAGUUCAUCAGAUCAAGAUCGGCUAUAUGGUGACGUUCAAGCUCCUGACUGCCGACACCCUCAAGGUCAUCAUCUUCGACGACGAUGGCAUUGAGGUGGUCAACAAGUGCGGGAAGCACGACGAAGCCUUCGCCGCCAGGGACUAG